GCAUCCGCAUUUGGAUUCUGCAUUUGGACUUGGGCACGGAUCCGAACACCCGAUGGAUUCAAAUCUUUACCCGCGAGAAGUUGGCCUGUUGGGAGCCCAUACGAUCGAAGCGGCGCGGACGGGUACACGGACGCGUGUUCGCACACAAGUUACGAUACCUCUCUCCUGCGCCUCCGCCUCCGCCUCCGCCGAUGGUCUCGGUGGCUAAUCUCCUCGUCUACGUCGACGCCACGGCAUUGGCUUUCGCAUCACUUCUGUCCGCCAACCCUCUCAGACCGCUCUCUUCCUCUCGCCCUCUGCUCGUUUCCUCCUGGACACGCCGCCUCCUUACUUCCGAUAUCUACAAUUUUGUAGGUGUUGAUACAGUAGCAGCAGAUAUUGCUGCCAAACAAUGGGCCAAAUGGCAAAGUACAGAGGACUCAGGCUAUGAUGCCUUGUUCAGCAGAGACCGAGCCAGUUAUCCAAACCCUCGGCUUCAUAAGUAAUGUGAUAUCGUCUUGACAGUAGAGGUUUCUUUGUUGCACAUACUUGGAGUUCGACUUGGCCACUGGAGUUGGAAGUUGAAGCAUACUCAGAAGCUGCAUCAAGCUUUUCAGAAGUUUGAACAUCACUUGCUGAAUUGGAGCAGUUGGGUUCUCUGCAGAUAUCAUUGUGGCUAAGCUGAGACGCGACAAACUUGUCAAGCACCCUCCAGUCUGUCACCUGCUCUACCACUUGAUUGAUGUUUCCUGUAUUAUCAUAAGUGGAGACGAUCUGAAACUGCUUACUGGACUGUAUUAGAUCUUCCUCUGCGAUGAUCGAUGACUGGAAAGCAGUUGCAUGGCUGACAUACAUAGGAAGCUUGGGGCUCUCUAGUUGGGGGAGCUGGAGGAAAGAAUCAUGUGGCAAGUGGUAGUGCACCUCCAGCUCUGGUUUGCAAGGCAGAAGGUGGUGGUGCUGGUGGUACGCCAUCUCUGGCUGGGGGCUGAUCUGCUUUGCUGAAUCGAGCUCCGUUAUGAAUGAUGCAUGAUCAUCAUACCAGCAGGGAGUAUCAUGGUCACUGACUCUUCUGACAGCCGCUAAUCUUUUCUUGAAGACCCUACAGACGACCCAUCCCUCUUCCUGAAACAUAGAAGCAAAUCUUUUAUCCGAAACACAAAAGUACUUUUAUAGGACUUGAAGAAUGGGAAUGAAGAGUGUCAAUGGAAAAUGAGCUAUGGUUUUAUCAGAAGAAAUAUUCAGAUUCCUGGUGGAUCAAAUCCACAUAACUUUUUCAUGAACUUGGUUCAAAUUCAGAUUUUGACAAAUGCUUUGGGACUUCAGCACGAGCAAAAUUGCAGGGUCUUUCGUAGCGGCUGAGUUCAUGUAAAAGGGAAGACGAGGAGGAACAGUUCUUACGGGUGACAGAUCACAGCACUGUGGCUAAAAGCUUCCAAGUACGUGGAAUGUCUUCUUUGGUUUGUACACGCCGGAUCGGAGAGUCCGUUGCGACAGAGAGAAGAUGGAGACCGAUUGCUCCUACUCCACCAGUUUUACUUCUCUCGGCAGAAACCUCGGGAAUCCAAUCGUUAGUGCCUCCUCCUCCUCCCUUUGGGGGCACCGCGAAGGAUCAGAUCCCGAGACUGAAGUCGCUCAACAAAGGAGAGAGAGAGAGAGAGAGAGAGAGAGAGAGAGAGAGAGAGAGGAUGUGGAAUAUAGCAAAGGAAGAGGAAAUGGCGUUCGUUAACCGACGGUGUGCGGUGCUGCAAAGGACGGGAAGUGUAUUAUAGCCAGGCCCGGUUUCUCUUUCAGCAGAGCGUGCCGCAAACAAGGUACGCGUAUGGAUGGAUGGAUUGCGGGGAAAGGCUUCGAGGGCAGAGGAAUGGCGCCGCAAUGGCCGGAAUCCUUUGGUCUUCUUGGCCGCAACCGCCACCACCUCCCCUCCCCUCCCCUCCCCUCCACCCGCAACCGAUAGCGACCACAACACCGAAGGCCACAAAGCUUCCCUUCCUUCUUCCACAGAGAUCACAAAGAGAGAGAGAGAGAGAGAGAGAGAGAGAGAGAGAGAGAGAGAUCUCUGCAGACAAAAGCAAAUGGACUGAGAUAAAUAGUAACUGCAGCAUGAGCCCAUGCAUGGCACUGAAACAUGGCUGAGGGCGAGGACAAUUGCGGGAAAUCCAAAGCAGCAUGUGGCGUUGGGGACCGCCCUGCUUUUGCUCUCAGCGGUUGGUCGUCCUUCUUCUUCCUCUGCCUCUUUCCUUGCUGCCUUUUGCUGUCGUCACUUGGAUCACGGCUACCGGUGGGCCUCUUUCGGACCGACCUAAGCAUUCCGAUGGAGACGCACCUCCAACCACAAAUCCCUACCGGCAGAAGAACAUUAAACAAACGAGCAAAACGUUGACGUUGUCCUCAGCCAAAUCAACAACUUUACUCAUUCGAGCCCAGGUUAGUGUUCUGCUCAAGCUCCUUUUCUCGUCUGUAAUAACAAUCUGUGAGAGAGAGAGGAGUUAAGCACGCAUGCGCGGGUUCAGCGCGUGGCGGCGUGGUUCUCGUCGGUCCCACCCCGUCAACCCAGGUCGCUGGUUGACACGUACGUCGGCUUCUCCUCCCUCUUUUGCCCUUAGGUCUGCGCGGUGGGAAGAGAGGGGGGAGAGAGGGUGUGUGACGCUGAAGGGUGGAGAUGUAUUAUAAUAUUCGUGGUGUGGAUUAUGGUUUGGGAGA
Musa acuminata AAA Group (dessert banana) is the source of this 2679-nucleotide long non-coding RNA. RefSeq lists it as uncharacterized. The record is from RefSeq and is a predicted model, not a curated record. Lineage: Eukaryota; Viridiplantae; Streptophyta; Magnoliopsida; Zingiberales; Musaceae. The transcript is spliced from 4 exons.